UGCUUCUUAUAAAGAUUAUUAGACAUAAGAUUUAUUUCAGAACCAUGGUCGAUUAAAGCAACAAUUGGUUCUUCUAUAUCUCCUAAUUUCACCAAUACCUCAGUAGUUGCCCUUAUCCAAUGCUUUCGAAUAUAAUGGCUUAAAGUUUCCAAUUCCUUAUCACUAUAAUCUUCAAAACAUACUCGUUGAUUAUACCUAUUCUUUUCAUUUGUUGGUUACUUGUAACCAAUAUCAAUCUCUUCUUCAUCUUUAUAUAUUCUUGCAUCAAUAGCAUGACUCAUUCCAGUUUCGCCCAUUAAUUGCCUCUUUCGCUUAAUGCUAUCAAUGAUAACAUCAUGAAACUCCUUCUUUGCAAUUUCAAAGACUUCUUUCAAUGUGAAUUCCACCUUAGCAUUUAAUAUACGUUCUUGCAACACCCCUUUCAAAUUUGUUGCCGCUUCA
Molecule: long non-coding RNA, 441 nt
Filed under: Physcomitrium patens
Lineage: Eukaryota; Viridiplantae; Streptophyta; Bryopsida; Funariales; Funariaceae
Description: long non-coding RNA (PPAT_LNC004051)
Source: RNAcentral